CCUACGGGGGGCUGCAGUGGGGAAUAUUGCACAAUGGGGGAAACCCUGAUGCAGCGACGCCGCGUGAGUGAAGAAGGUCUUCGGAUCGUAAAACUCUGUCCUUGGUGACGAAAAAAAUGACGGUAGCCAAGGAGGAAGCCCCGGCUAACUACGUGCCAGCAGCCGCGGUAAUACGUAGGGGGCGAGCGUUGUCCGGAUUUACUGGGCGUAAAGGGUGAGUAGGCGGUUAUAUGUGUCAGAUGUAAAAGGCUAUGGCUUAACCAUAGUUGGCAUUUGAAACUGUAUGACUUGAGUGCAGGAGAGGUAAGUGGAAUUCCUAGUGUAGCGGUGAAAUGCGUAGAUAUUAGGAGGAACACCAGUGGCGAAGGCGACUUACUGGACUGUAACUGACGCUGAGUCACGAAAGCGUGGGUAGCAAACAGGAUUAGAUACCCCGGUAGUC
Molecule: ribosomal RNA, 442 nt
Filed under: uncultured Sedimentibacter sp.
Lineage: Bacteria; Bacillati; Bacillota; Tissierellia
Description: bacterial SSU rRNA
Rfam family: Bacterial small subunit ribosomal RNA
Source: RNAcentral